UUCUGUUUUACUUUUGAAAGAACUCAAUUUUUACUUGCCAAUCAUUCCUAUUUCUGUUAUUCUUAACAAGAAUUAUUUUUGUUCAGUAUGCAAGUGAAGAACAAGAAACUGCUUUUCGCCUGGAUAUCAUUUAGAGCAAGAAUAAAAUUUAAUUGUGUGUACGACGCACUAGGAGGCAACAAAAAUGGAAAAUGGUAAAGUAAAAUGGUUUAAUGCAGAAAAAGGUUUCGGAUUUAUCGAACGUGAAGCCGGAGAAGACGUAUUCGUUCAUUUCUCAGCGAUCCAAGGCGAAGGUUUCAAAUCACUUGAAGAAGGUCAAGAUGUUACAUUCGAUGUUGAAAAAGGCGCUCGCGGACCUCAAGCUGCAAACGUCCGUAAAGCUUAAUGUAGAUUUAGCACAUACAAAGAGACUCUAUUCUAGAGUCUUUUUUUA
RNAcentral lists this small RNA (433 nucleotides) under Bacillus methanolicus MGA3. RNAcentral describes it as "cspA thermoregulator". It matches the Rfam family "cspA thermoregulator". The record is from Rfam by way of RNAcentral. Lineage: Bacteria; Bacillati; Bacillota; Bacilli; Caryophanales; Bacillaceae.